AAAAAACGGGAAACAACUUAUAGAUAAGCAAAUAAAAGAAUUAAAUGAAGCAGAUGAAAAAUUUGAACGUC
Molecule: transfer RNA, 71 nt
Filed under: Acanthothecis fontana
Lineage: Eukaryota; Fungi; Ascomycota; Lecanoromycetes; Ostropales; Graphidaceae
Description: tRNA-Cys
Source: RNAcentral